GACGAACGCUGGCGGCGUGCUUAACACAUGCAAGUCGAACGGAAAGGCCCUUCGGGGUCCUCGAGUGGCGAACGGGUGAGUAACACGUGGGUGAUCUGCCCUGCACUUUGGGAUAAGCCUGGGAAACUGGGUCUAAUACCGAAUAGGACCACGCGCUUCAUGGUGUGUGGUGGAAAGCUUUUGCGGUGUGGGAUGGGCCCGCGGCCUAUCAGCUUGUUGGUGGGGUAAUGGCCUACCAAGGCGACGAUGGGUAGCCGGCCUGAGAGGGUGACCGGCCACACUGGGACUGAGAUACGGCCCAGACUCCUACGGGAGGCAGCAGUGGGGAAUAUUGCACAAUGGGCGCAAGCCUGAUGCAGCGACGCCGCGUGAGGGAUGACGGCCUUCGGGUUGUAAACCUCUUUCAAUAGGGACGAAGCGCAAGUGACGGUACCUAUAGAAGAAGCACCGGCCAACUACGUG
This 462-nucleotide ribosomal RNA is filed under the name uncultured bacterium. Its description in RNAcentral is "partial 16S ribosomal RNA". It matches the Rfam family "Bacterial small subunit ribosomal RNA", at positions 28 to 507 of the family's 1533-position model. The record is from RNAcentral.